This 467-nucleotide ribosomal RNA is filed under the name uncultured bacterium. RNAcentral describes it as "bacterial SSU rRNA". It matches the Rfam family "Bacterial small subunit ribosomal RNA", at positions 329 to 793 of the family's 1533-position model. The record is from RNAcentral.
CUCCAGACUCCUACGGGAGGCAGCAGUGAGGAAUAUUGGUCAAUGGGCGGGAGCCUGAACCAGCCAAGUCGCGUGAGGGAAGACGGUCCUAUGGAUUGUAAACCUCUUUAGGCGGGGAGCAAUGCCGGGCACGUGUGCCCGGAGGGAGAGUACCCGCAGAAUAAGCAUCGGCUAACUCCGUGCCAGCAGCCGCGGUAAUACGGAGGAUGCGAGCGUUAUCCGGAUUUAUUGGGUUUAAAGGGUGCGUAGGCGGAAGGGUAAGUCAGCGGUAAAAUGUCGGUGCUCAACACCGGCCUGCCGUUGAAACUGGUCUUCUUGAGUGAGCGAGAAGUAUGCGGAAUGCGUGGUGUAGCGGUGAAAUGCAUAGAUAUCACGCAGAACGCCGAUUGCGAAGGCAGCAUACCGGCGCUCAACUGACGCUGAGGCACGAAAGCGUGGGGAUCGAACAGGAUUAGAUACCCUCGUAC